This 254-nucleotide ribosomal RNA is filed under the name uncultured bacterium. Its description in RNAcentral is "partial 16S ribosomal RNA". It matches the Rfam family "Bacterial small subunit ribosomal RNA", at positions 524 to 776 of the family's 1533-position model. The record is from RNAcentral.
UACGUAGGGGGCAAGCGUUGUCCGGAUUUAUUGGGCGUAAAGAGCUCGUAGGCGGUUCCGUAAGUCGUGAAGUCAAAUCUCUGGGCUCAACCCAGAAUCGCUUCCGAUACUGCGGUGACUGGCGUCCGGUAGGGGAGUGUGGAAUUCCUGGUGUAGCGGUGAAAUGCGCAGAUAUCAGGAGGAACACCAACAGCGAAAGCGGCUCCCUGGUCCAGCACCGACGUUCAGGCACGAAAGCGUGGGGAGCAAACAGG